AGUUCCUUACUGAGACCUAGACAACCAGGUGAGGGGAGUUCCUUACUGAGACCUAGACAACCAGGUGAGGAGAGUUCCUUACUGAGACCUGGACAACCAGGUGAGGAGAGACCUAGACAACCAGGUGAGGAGAGGUCCUUACUGAGACCUAGACAACCAGGUGAGGAGAGUUCCUUACUGAGACCUAGACAACCAGGUGAGGAGAGUUCCUUACUGAGACCUAGACAACCAGGUGAGGAGAGUUCCUUACUGAGACCUAGACAACCAGGUGAGGAGAGUUCCUUACUGAGACCUAGACAACCAGGUGAGGGGAGUUCCUUACUGAGACCUAGACAACCAGGUGAGGAGAGUUCCUUACUGAGACCUAGACAACCAGGUGAGGAGAGGUCCUUACUGAGACCUAGACAACCAG
RNAcentral lists this long non-coding RNA (412 nucleotides) under Salmo salar (Atlantic salmon). RNAcentral's name for it is "lncRNA (ENSSSAG00000120987.1)". Lineage: Eukaryota; Metazoa; Chordata; Actinopteri; Salmoniformes; Salmonidae. The record is from RNAcentral.